RNAcentral lists this transfer RNA (71 nucleotides) under Candidatus Melainabacteria bacterium. RNAcentral describes it as "tRNA-Ile". It matches the Rfam family "tRNA". Rfam says of the family: Transfer RNA (tRNA) molecules are approximately 80 nucleotides in length. Their secondary structure includes four short double-helical elements and three loops (D, anti-codon, and T loops). Further hydrogen bonds mediate the characteristic L-shaped molecular structure. tRNAs have two regions of fundamental functional importance: the anti-codon, which is responsible for specific mRNA codon recognition, and the 3' end, to which the tRNAs corresponding amino acid is attached (by aminoacyl-tRNA synthetases). tRNAs cope with the degeneracy of the genetic code in two manners: having more than one tRNA (with a specific anti-codon) for a particular amino acid; and 'wobble' base-pairing, i.e. permitting non-standard base-pairing at the 3rd anti-codon position. The record is from RNAcentral. RNAcentral also lists the same sequence under 1 other name. Lineage: Bacteria; Bacillati; Candidatus Melainabacteria.
UGCUGCAUAGCUCAAUAGUAGAGCGCUCGCCUGAUAAGCGAGUGGUGUAGGUGCGACUCCUGCUGCGGCAA